AAUCAAUUGAAGGGUUUGAUUCUGGCUCAGAAUGAACGUUGGCGGCGUGGAUUAGGCAUGCAAGUCG
RNAcentral lists this ribosomal RNA (67 nucleotides) under Planctomycetia bacterium. RNAcentral's name for it is "partial 16S ribosomal RNA". The record is from RNAcentral. Lineage: Bacteria; Pseudomonadati; Planctomycetota; Planctomycetia.